AGAGCGAACGCUGGCGGCAGGCCUAAUACAUGCAAGUCGAGCGGCCCUUCGGGGUAGCGGCGGACGGGUGAGUAACGCGUGGGAACGUGCCCUUUGGUACGGAACAACUGAGGGAAACUUCAGCUAAUACCGUAUGUGCCCUUCGGGGGAAAGAUUUAUCGCCAUUGGAGCGGCCCGCGUUAGAUUAGCUAGUUGGUGGGGUAAAGGCCUACCAAGGCAAACGAUCUAUAGCUGGUCUGAGAGGAUGAUCAGCCACACUGGGACUGAGACACGGCCCAGACUCCUACGGGAGGCAGCAGUAGGGAAUCUUGCGCAAUGGGCGAAAGCCUGACGCAGCCAUGCCG
RNAcentral lists this ribosomal RNA (344 nucleotides) under uncultured soil bacterium. RNAcentral describes it as "bacterial SSU rRNA". It matches the Rfam family "Bacterial small subunit ribosomal RNA", at positions 26 to 399 of the family's 1533-position model. The record is from RNAcentral.